UACUCGAGUGGCGAACGGGUGAGUAACACGUGGGUGAUCUGCCCUGCACUCUGGGAUAAGCCUGGGAAACUGGGUCUAAUACCGGAUAGGAACCAUCUUUAGUGUGGUGGUUGGAAAGUUUUUUCGGUGUAGGAUGAGCUCGCGGCCUAUCAGCUUGUUGGUGGGGUAAUGGCCUACCAAGGCGGCGACGGGUAGCCGGCCUGAGAGGGUGUACGGCCACAUUGGGACUGAGAUACGGCCCAG
RNAcentral lists this ribosomal RNA (243 nucleotides) under uncultured Actinomycetales bacterium. RNAcentral describes it as "partial 16S ribosomal RNA". It matches the Rfam family "Bacterial small subunit ribosomal RNA", at positions 88 to 334 of the family's 1533-position model. Lineage: Bacteria; Bacillati; Actinomycetota; Actinomycetes; Actinomycetales. The record is from RNAcentral.